Molecule: long non-coding RNA, 371 nt
Filed under: Fukomys damarensis (Damara mole-rat)
Lineage: Eukaryota; Metazoa; Chordata; Mammalia; Rodentia; Bathyergidae
Description: lncRNA (ENSFDAG00000023402.1)
Source: RNAcentral
GAGGAACAGGAAAUGUGCAUAGGAAGCAGGAUACCCUCCAGUUAGAAGGUUUGGGCGUGUACUGGGAAGUGGUGAGGGCACAGCUGCUCCUUUGCUAACGCUAGAGGGCGCAUUGUGGGUGGAAGAUAAGAACACCAGACUGAGGAAGUCGUACUGCUCACUCACUGCGCACUCACGUUAAAAUGGAAUGAAAAAGUCAAAAGCUUGUGGACCACUGGGUGCUGAAGAUAAGUUGCUGUUUCUGCCUGGAGCAGGAGUAGAAACAAAUAUCUUGCUGAAACCAAAGGAAGAGAAGGGCCCUUCAACAAUGAAAGUCUGACAAGUUUUCAGUGCUACAAAAACUUUCCAAAGUAAGUUCUGGGAAAAUACCC